UAUUAUGGCCAUACCACCCUGAACACACGCAAUCUUGCCUGAUCUUGAAAGCUAAGCAGGGUUAGGCCUGGUUAGUACUUGAAUAGGAGACUGUCUGGGAAUACCAAGUACUAUGGGCU
Ribosomal RNA from Mesocricetus auratus (golden hamster), 119 nucleotides. The record is from Ensembl. Lineage: Eukaryota; Metazoa; Chordata; Mammalia; Rodentia; Cricetidae.